Long non-coding RNA from Gasterosteus aculeatus aculeatus (three-spined stickleback), 1182 nucleotides. NCBI's taxonomy places the organism in Eukaryota, Metazoa, Chordata, Actinopteri, Perciformes, Gasterosteidae. The record is from Ensembl.
CACCGGGCCGACAGGCCGCCGGGCCGACACCGGGCCGCCGGGCCGCCGGACUAGCACACGCCGCACAGAGCGUCGGAUCCCGAAUUCCGGCUUUAGAAAUGUUCUUAUGUGACUCUUUGUUUACAUAUUUGUGCUCUAUGGAUUUUUCGAACAGUAUUUGUAGUUUUGGGUCGGAACGCAGCUGUUGGAGAACCUGAACCCACGUGUGAUUAUUUCAGCUAACUGUAAUAACCGGACGCCUUCCAUGACCAUUGGCCGACCUGCUGUUUGUCACCCAGCUGACACGCAAAGUUGAUGGAGUUCCUGUUCUCUGCUGGAGGAGACGGACCAGUGCAACCAGUAGCUGCACUGGGAGGUUGGCGGCAUUAUGAAGAACAACCUCCCUCUGCUGUCAGCAGCGGCACCGUGGAUGAACUCGCCCUCUGUGCCAGUGGACUCUGCUCCAGAUGGACGCGCCGGGGCUGAUCCCUGAGCGGAGGCAGCCGACCAAGACGCCGCAUCCAUUCAACGGGGGAGCCGGGCUUCUGAUUCGGUUCAUCGGGAUCACUUCUACCUGCAGACAAGCAUUAGCACAGAGUGGGUCGUCAUCUUUGACUUGAUCAACCAAUGAUAGCGGAGCAGCGGCGCUCCGGCUUGAAAAUAAGCCAAAGUAAAAAGGGUCUCGAUGCCAGCGGCGCCCGGCUGAAUCAAAAUGUUAUCUUUUAUUCCAAACCCAUUAGCAACCUCCCGACACGUGCUAUAAUAAAAAUACACAUUUAUUUUGGUAAAAAUGGGAUGAAAACAGCACUUCAAAGCUCUUGGAGAUUGAAGUAGCAAUUUGAAUGUUUCAUGCGCCACCCCCCUUCCUUUCAUUGCAUUGCUGGGGCUUCGGUCAUGAGGAGACCUAUUCACAAAGCCCAGGAUCGUCCAUUCAGGAAGACCAUUCUUUAAUGUAGAGAUAUCAUGUCUUCUCUUAAUGUACAGACUGGUUUGAGUGUGUUCCUGCGUGUGUGCGUGUGUGUGUCUGAAAGUAGGCUAAUGGAAGUUCAGGCAGCCGGGGACCAAUAAAAGAACAAAUGGCAAAAAAACUAAACUAAAGCAAACUUCUUCAAAAGUAGAACAGUACUAUGAAAUAAAAUAGAAAGAUUCUUUUUGUUGAAAAAGACAAAUCUUUUGAAUGCAUCAUGCUAUCAAAGGUUGGGC